Molecule: ribosomal RNA, 433 nt
Filed under: uncultured bacterium
Lineage: Bacteria
Description: partial 16S ribosomal RNA
Rfam family: Bacterial small subunit ribosomal RNA
Source: RNAcentral
AACGAACGCUGGCGGCAUGCCUAACACAUGCAAGUCGAACGAGACCUUCGGGUCUAGUGGCGCACGGGUGCGUAACGCGUGGGAACCUGCCCUUAGGUUCGGAAUAACUCCCAGAAAGGGGUGCUAAUACCGGAUAAUGUCUUCGGACCAAAGAUUUAUCGCCUUUGGAUGGGCCCGCGUUGGAUUAGCUAGUUGGUAGGGUAAAAGCCUACCAAGGCGACGAUCCAUAGCUGGUCUGAGAGGAUGAUCAGCCACACUGGGACUGAGACACGGCCCAGACUCCUACGGGAGGCAGCAGUGGGGAAUAUUGGACAAUGGGCGAAAGCCUGAUCCAGCAAUGCCGCGUGAGUGAUGAAGGCCUUAGGGUUGUAAAGCUCUUUUACCCGGGAUGAUAAUGACAGUACCGGGAGAAUAAGCUCCGGCUAACUCCGUG